GAGGGUCACAGAGGAUGCAAAGAGAAGGUGGAGACUCCUGUGCAUUGUUGUACUUGUGUAUGAGAAGCAGCACAGGACAGCCAACCAAGGCAGAGCCAAUUAUGAAAUCAGCUUAGUUUGACUAGCCUUUGGUGGCACGAUGCUGCGUCAGGGUGGAGAAACCAUGACCUCUGAGCUGCACCCUGGCCUCCUCUAGAGAAGAAAGGCUUUGCAACGUGCUAGCAGAGCCAUGAAGAGGCCCACCCAUGGCCAACCCCACCACCUGGGAUGGCCCGAGAUCCCAAGGCACUCAGAGACAAAUGAAGCUGCAAUGUUGCUAGUCUCUUUUAGGAAGCAGAAAAGAGGGAAUGGGAGCAGGAAAAUGUUUAUUGUAUUUUCCUCCACUUUUUUUUUCUGGUCUUGUGUCAAGCAUAUCUGGCCAAAGAGAGGGGAAAUGUGGUUUCCACAAGACCUAACUUUGAAUGGAUACAAGCAGUUUCUAAGGAGAUCUGCUCUAUAAUUGUAGAGGAAAUUACAAGCUGAAUCAUCUGUGGUUUGGAGAGAGAAAUCAAUGAUAUUUUGUAAGCUGAACCAAACUGUGAUGUCUCUUACCUAUAAGCAAACUGGAAAGAAAUCAAUUCCAAGAACUUUCAACAAAAAUCCAUCUUAAUUCAGGUCUGACAGAACAGUUUUGUUCUCCUUCCCUGAAGUAACAGUGUGCACCAGCCCGAAAUCCCCAAUACCAUUGCAGAGACAAGCUUUUCACAGCAGAGACAGACUAAUGCACUACACUCCAGGCCUGACAACCCACUUGACACCAAGUCUUGGGAAUGCACAAAGGACUGCCCACCUUUCAGGGUUGGCCUGCCAAAAGUGCUGUUGUCUCUCCGGAAGGCAGAUCCAAAGCAGAAUCCACCAAUUGUGAUGCAUUGCACCACACAUUGAGAUGGAUUUCUGAAGCAGAACUGCAUCCACUGGACCCUGUAAUGACAGCAGCAAACUAAUUCUGCUUAUAACCUAAAUGGCAUCUGACUCUUAAAUGAGUGCUCUUCAUAUGUUGAUGUUUUGCACAAUUUAACUUUUUUCUAUAAGACAGGGAAAAAAGUGAGAUCCUGAAUAUGUACUAGAAUUGCCCUUCAUUUUAUACUUUUACUUUACUGUAUAUCCCUGUGAAAUGCUGAAGCCACUUUAAUCAUAAGAGAUAAUAGGGAGACAAUAUUCUAUUUUCUGAAGCCAAACACAAAUGCUUCCAUAAAUAUUUGCCUUGAGGUACCACAGUGCUCUUGAGCCACGUCUACAAUAGGAUACGACAUUUAAAUCCCUCAGGAUGGUGAAGAGUCCUCCUCUGAGCCUAAACAUCAACAUGAUGCAUGCUCUUGCUUCAAGAAAUGGAUGAAAGUGUACCAAAUACAAAAACAGAGUCCUGAGGACUCAGUUUGUUUGGAGAGAGUCAGAGGGAAGAACUGUCCCUUUCUAUUCUAUUCCCAAGCUACAUGGGGACAUAAGGAAGAAGCACAGCAGGGAGGAAUGGGACCAAUCUCCCUUGCAGCAAGUGACUACCAUUCAUCUAUGUUUACCAACCAAAACUGAUGCACCCUCAACCUGUCACUGAACCACUGAUGAAACCUGACUGGCUGCUGCAGGUCUUGGAAUAGAGUCCAGCUGCAAUUCAUUAGUGCAGAAAAAUUCUUUGUGUGGAAAAAUCAGGAGCUUAUACUUAAAAGAGCAGAGCUAUUAUGGCGUGACACUUUUCUGUUCCGUCUGCAUUAUUGUAGCAAUGUUCUUGUAGACUGUGUUUAAAAUGAUGCUAUAAAAAUAAAUUCUGAUUAGAUUUGAAUGCUUGAUGAAAUCAGCAUACAAUUUAUUUUUUCCACAGGGUGUUCAAGAAUAUUCAUAAGAGCUCUUUAAUUAUUAAAUAAUUACAAAUCACUCAUUAAAACAUUAUUCAUUUCACUGCAUAAUCAUGCCAAGUCAUAUAUUUCAAACCCUAGAAUUUUUCCUUUCUUAGUGCCAGACAGAUCCAAGCAAAGUUAAUUGAAUAUUUUUAAUAUUUAUGUAGUUAAAUGGCUAGUUCACUAAACUGCAGUAGAGUCAUAAGAUGAGGCCCGAAUCACAGGGACUGCUCAUGAGCGUUUCAUGGGCUCAGCAGGCAGUGCACCACUUGGUGAAAUGCAUAGGAUGACACUUUGUUAAAUGAGAAAAAUAUCCUUGCUACCACAUUACGUUUGUCCAAGUUCUCCAUAAGACCCAUGAGGUAACAUUUUUACUUUGUUUUCUUUAGCACCCCUAUUGCUUUUGACUCAAUCAGUUACUUGUCAGCUCCUAUUUCAAGGUACUUUACCUCCCUAUCCAAGAAGAUAAACGGAAAAUUAGGUGAGGAAGGCUUGCUUGACUCCUCCAGAUGAUGACAAAACACCUCAUCAGUUAGGAGGGAUGAGGACACUAGCAACUACUUAGCAUUUCAGCCAUCCCAUCAUCCAGCCUGACCUCAGAGAAUGAUUACACCAAUAUCAAGAGGAGCUGCCUUUUUCACCUGAGCAUUUUCUGUGAGGCAGAUGUCACAUUUCCCCUUUUAUGAGUAAACUGAGGGUAUGAGCAAGCCAAGAGUAAGAGUGGUUCAAGGGGGGCAUGAGGAUCAGGCUCACCUAGCGUGGGCAGCACACCUUUUCACAUCCCAAAAUCCCCUGGGGUGUGGUCCUGCCAGGGAGACCUGCCAAGGAGCAGAGGGCACCACAGAAAUGGUCACUCCAGAGACUCCUUGUUCUGAGCACUGGGAUAGCUGUGUUCACUCAGGAUCAUGGACUUUCCCUGUAAUUAUCUCAAGGACCACCAAUCAUAACAAGAUAAAAUUAUGUUUUCUACAAAACAUUUUCUUUUCCUGUCUGGCUGUUAUUCCAGUAUUUUAAUAAGGUCCACAGGGGUUUGUUCAGGGUCACAAGGGGGGAUGGUGGUAGACCUGGGGACAAAGCUGAGUAAAAUCUCAUUCUCAUUCUUUCUAUCCACCAAGGAAUGCAGCUUCCCAAAUCAAAGUGACAGGAUGAGUUCAAAGGCAAAGCAGCAAACUUACCAGUUAAUCCAAGCAUUAUUUCUACAAAUUAUACUAUAUUAUACUGACAGAGAUGAGGCCCACUCCUAGACCUUAUUUUUGGCAGAAUUGCUUUCUCAGGAGAGUAAAAAGCAUUCUGUACCCUUGAGGUAGAGUUAUGAAGAGCCUUAUUAGUAAUUGCAUAUGGUUUCUUUUUUUCCCAUCAGGCAACUGAAGUUUCAAUGUCUGCAGAAGUAGCCAUGGAGAGCCAACAAAAUAUCUAUCUGUUUACAAAGGCACAACGCAGUGUGGCUACCAGCUUCCUACAGUAAAAGAGUAAAGGAUACAAUCAUGCUGUUCCACAGAAAGACGGGUCAGAAGGGUGGGUGACAUUGCAAAUAUGCAGGUGUAGCAAAACAGAGGUCUGCACCACCUAGAAAUCAUAGAUAUAUUAGCCAAAAUAUAAUUAAUAUGCCUGCCUUCAUUUUAAAUAGGUGCAAGGAUAGUGUAACUAACAACAGAAUAUAAGUAUUUUGCCACACUCAAGGCACAGCAAGAUGAUAUCUAUAAGCAUUUUGCAUAAGUAUGCGAGCAACAUGACUACCAAAGAUGGGUGAAGUUGCAAGUAUGUGGAAUUGAGCUAACAAAAAUUGCCAGAAAGAGAGUAAGAUAAGCACAUAGAACUGCAAAUAGUUAAGACAACCUGAAUACUACAUGACAAGGAUGACUUGCAAAGCAAAAAACACAGUAAGUGAUACUGUAAGGAGAUGAGUUCCUCCUUACUGAAGGCAGGAAACAGCAUAAAACCACCAGGCAUAAGCAAAUAAAAAAAUAAACAGAGACAAGCAACAUGACAAGCCCAGUUCUGGCUUCUCUCAUAAAUGAGCUUUUGGUCCUGAUCACCAAACCUUGGCAAACAGGGACCACUGAAGACCACACCCAUCAGUGCCAGCUGUGAGGCAGCAACCCCCACAGCACAGAGUGCCCACAGCUGGCUCACAGUUGCGCUACUAAACACACUGGUGAGGUUGAAACAAUGGGUUUGAUGUUGAAAUGAUCAGCUGUGAGCACAAAGGCUGUCCUUAAGGAAUGGAUUUAGUAAAGGUAAAAGUUUAAAACUUCCCUGAUCUGUCAGCCAUCUAAACAUCUCCACAAUCCAACCUAAUUACCACACCCUAUGUGCUCGUUCAGUUGGCAUAUCUGCAACGCAAGUUUUCUGCAAUAGAAGGAAUUUCUUUGCAAGAUCUCCUAACUGAUCCUGAGGAAUGUACACAUCCCAAGAAAACCCAGGUGCUAUAAUCGUUAUUUUUCAAAAUAAAAAGACUUUCCACAGACAGGGGAGAAGAACGAACAUAUUGGGGGGUUCAUAAUGUGCAUAUCUACAGUAUCGAUAUGAGCCAUACUACAGGAUCUGUAGCCUAAUCUGCAUUCAGUGGAUCACUGUUAAGCUGUUUAAACUGAAGCAAUUGCUGCAGUUAAGCUCCUAAUGAAUAUUUGUUCACACCAGAGAAGCCUUAUCACAGUCAGCAGUAACUCACAAUUUAGCAUAUCUUGGGCAAGGUCAGCAGAAACAGCAAGACUUGGGCAAUGAACCUGAGUCUUGCCCUAGAAUGAAAAUAGUCUCUUUUUAUCAUUCACUGACCCUAAAGGCCUUUCCGCAAGUGCUCAGAACUGUACCUUGUUUACAAAUGGGCCGCAAUGAGGUGCAGGAUGGGGUGUGAUUAGCUUAUGGCUAUUUGCACACUGCAGGACAGUAUCAGUGUCUGGAAAGAGAAACCACAGCUCAGCUUCCAGCCCUGCAGACUUUCAGCCAGUCUGCCUCCUUCUAGAGCACGACAGAACCACCUGUACAGUACCUCUGAGUGUCAAAAACAGAGAAAAAAACCUUGAGGUGGAAUUUUUCACGGCAGCACCUUUCACCAGCCAAAUACUUUUGGAAAUGUGACCCGCAGACAGCCAAGAAGACU
Molecule: long non-coding RNA, 4971 nt
Organism: Passer domesticus (house sparrow)
Lineage: Eukaryota; Metazoa; Chordata; Aves; Passeriformes; Passeridae
Exons: 3
Source: RefSeq, a predicted model, not a curated record